GAUGAACGCUGGCGGCGUGCCUAAUACAUGCAAGUCGAGCGAACAGAUGAGGAGCUUGCUCCUCUGACGUUAGCGGCGGACGGGUGAGUAACACGUGGAUAACCUACCUAUAAGACUGGGAUAACUUCGGGAAACCGGAGCUAAUACCGGAUAAUAUAUUGAACCGCAUGGUUCAAUAGUGAAAGACGGUUUUGCUGUCACUUAUAGAUGGAUCCGCGCCGCAUUAGCUAGUUGGUAAGGUAACGGCUUACCAAGGCAACGAUGCGUAGCCGACCUGAGAGGGUGAUCGGCCACACUGGAACUGAGACACGGUCCAGACUCCUACGGGAGGCAGCAGUAGGGAAUCUUCCGCAAUGGGCGAAAGCCUGACGGAGCAACGCCGCGUGAGUGAUGAAGGUCUUCGGAUCGUAAAACUCUGUUAUUAGGGAAGAACAAAUGUGUAAGUAACGAUGCACGUCUUGACGGUACCUAAUCAGAAAGCCACGGCUAACGACGUGC
Molecule: ribosomal RNA, 498 nt
Filed under: uncultured bacterium
Lineage: Bacteria
Description: partial 16S ribosomal RNA
Rfam family: Bacterial small subunit ribosomal RNA
Source: RNAcentral